GCGAGAGUGGCGGAAUUGGUAGACGCGCUGGACUUAGGAUCCAGUCCGGUCUUCGGGUGGGGGUUCAAGUCCCCCCUCUCGCACCA
This 86-nucleotide transfer RNA is filed under the name Deltaproteobacteria bacterium. RNAcentral's name for it is "tRNA-Leu". It matches the Rfam family "tRNA". Rfam says of the family: Transfer RNA (tRNA) molecules are approximately 80 nucleotides in length. Their secondary structure includes four short double-helical elements and three loops (D, anti-codon, and T loops). Further hydrogen bonds mediate the characteristic L-shaped molecular structure. tRNAs have two regions of fundamental functional importance: the anti-codon, which is responsible for specific mRNA codon recognition, and the 3' end, to which the tRNAs corresponding amino acid is attached (by aminoacyl-tRNA synthetases). tRNAs cope with the degeneracy of the genetic code in two manners: having more than one tRNA (with a specific anti-codon) for a particular amino acid; and 'wobble' base-pairing, i.e. permitting non-standard base-pairing at the 3rd anti-codon position. Lineage: Bacteria; Pseudomonadati; Myxococcota; Myxococcia. The record is from RNAcentral.